RNAcentral lists this ribosomal RNA (502 nucleotides) under Theileria sp. RNAcentral describes it as "SSU rRNA". It matches the Rfam family "Eukaryotic small subunit ribosomal RNA", at positions 499 to 1039 of the family's 1831-position model. The record is from RNAcentral. Lineage: Eukaryota; Apicomplexa; Aconoidasida; Piroplasmida; Theileriidae.
UGUCUUGUAAUUGGAAUGAUGGGAAUUUAAACCUCUUCCAGAGUAUCAAUUGGAGGGCAAGUCUGGUGCCAGCAGCCGCGGUAAUUCCAGCUCCAAUAGCGUAUAUUAAAAUUGUUGCAGUUAAAAAGCUCGUAGUUGAAUUUCUGCUGCAUUGUUUCUUCUCAUGUCGAGUGAUUCAUUGUGGCUUAUUUCGGAUUGUUUUUUACUUUCCGGAUGAUUACUUUGAGAAAAUUAGAGUGCUCAAAGCAGGCUUUUGCCUUGAAUAGUUUAGCAUGGAAUAAUAAAGUAGGACUUUGGUUCUAUUUUGUUGGUUUUAGGUACCAAAGUAAUGGUUAAUAGGAACAGUUGGGGGCAUUCGUAUUUAACUGUCAGAGGUGAAAUUCUUAGAUUUGUUAAAGACGAACUACUGCGAAAGCAUUUGCCAAGGAUGUUUUCAUUAAUCAAGAACGAAAGUUAGGGGAUCGAAGACGAUCAGAUACCGUCGUAGUCCUACCAUAAACUA